GAGUUUGAUCCUGGCUCAGGAUGAACGCUGGCGGCGUGCUUAACACAUGCAAGUCGAACGGAGAUUAUACGCAGAGGCGAUUUCGGUCAAAUCAUGUGUAAUCUUAGUGGCGGACGGGUGAGUAACGCGUGGGUAACCUGCCUUACACUGGGGGAUAACACUUAGAAAUAGGUGCUAAUACCGCAUAAGCGCACGAAGCCGCAUGGAUUUGUGUGAAAAACUCCGGUGGUGUAAGAUGGACCCGCGUCUGAUUAGCUUGUUGGCGGGGUAACGGCCCACCAAGGCGACGAUCAGUAGCCGGCCUGAGAGGGUGGACGGCCACAUUGGGACUGAGACACGGCCCAAACUCCUACGGGAGGCAGCAGUGGGGGAUAUUGGACAAUGGGGGGAACCCUGAUCCAGCGACGCCGCGUGAGUGAAGAAGUAUUUCGGUAUGUAAAGCUCUGUCAGCAGGGAAGAAAGAAAUGACGGUACCUGACCAAGAAGCCCCGGCUAACUACGUA
Molecule: ribosomal RNA, 503 nt
Filed under: uncultured Lachnospiraceae bacterium
Lineage: Bacteria; Bacillati; Bacillota; Clostridia; Lachnospirales; Lachnospiraceae
Description: bacterial SSU rRNA
Rfam family: Bacterial small subunit ribosomal RNA
Source: RNAcentral